CCCGACUGCUAUUUGGGUGAGGAUAAGCCAUGCGAGUUGAAUGGGAAACCUAAAGUUCCCAUGGCAAACUGCUCAGUAACACAUGAUCAACUUACCCUAUAGAGAAAAAUAACCUCGGGAAACUGAGGAUAAUGUUUCAUAGUUGAAUUGGCUUGGAAAAGUUUUUCGACGAAAGGGGUAAAAAAAAUGGUUUUUAUCUGCUAUAGGAUAGGAUCGUGUUCGAUUAUGGUUGUUGGUGAGGUAAUGGCUCACCAAGCCGAUAAUCGAUAGGGGCCGUGAGAGCGGGAGCCCCGAGAUGGGUACUGAGACAACGACCCAGGCCUUACGAGGCGCAGCAGGCGUGAAACCUCCGCAAUACACGAAAGUGUGACGGGGUUACCCAAAGUGUUCAAUUUUGAACUGUGGUAGGUGAGUAAUGUUCCCUACUAGAGAGGAGAGGGCAAGGCUGGUGCCAGCCGCCGCGGUAAAACCAGCUCUUCAAGUGGUCGGGAUAAUAUUGGGCUUAAAGUGUCCGUAGCCGGUUUAGUAAGUUCCUGGUAAAAUCGGGUAGCUUAACUAUCUAUAUGCUAGGAAUACUACUAUACUAGAGGGCGGGAGAGGUCUGAGGUACUACAGGGGUAGGGGUGAAAUCUUAUAAUCCUUGUUGGACCACCAGUGGCGAAGGCGUCAGACUGGAACGCGCCUGACGGUGAGGGACGAAAGCCAGGGGAGCGAACCGGAUUAGAUACCCGGGUAGUCCUGGCCGUAAACGAUGCAUACUAGGUGAUGGCACGGCCAUGAGCCGUGUCAGUGCCGUAGGGAAACCGUUAAGUGUGCCGCCUGGGAAGUACGGUCGCAAGGCUAAAACUUAAAGGAAUUGGCGGGGGAGCACCACAAGNGGGUGAAGCCUGCGGUUCA
This 897-nucleotide ribosomal RNA is filed under the name uncultured archaeon. RNAcentral's name for it is "bacterial SSU rRNA". It matches the Rfam family "Archaeal small subunit ribosomal RNA", at positions 21 to 904 of the family's 1478-position model. The record is from RNAcentral.